CCUACGGGAGGCAGCAGUGAGGAAUAUUGGUCAAUGGCCGGAAGGCUGAACCAGCCAUGCCGCGUGAAGGUCAGUGCCCUUUGGGCGUUAAACUUCUUUUGUGCGGGAGCAAUAAUGGUCACGUGUGUCCAGACUAGAUUAACGUACGAAUAAGCAUCGGCUAACUCCGUGCCAGCAGCCGCGGUCAUACGGGGGGUGCAAGCGUUAUCCGGAUUUAUUUGGUUUAAAGGGUGCGUAGGCUGUGAGGUAAGUCAACGGUGAAAUGCCCCCGCUCAACGGGGUGAAGUGCCAUUGAUACUGGCGAGCUGGAAUGCGUAUGCGGUGAGAGGAA
Molecule: ribosomal RNA, 331 nt
Filed under: uncultured bacterium
Lineage: Bacteria
Description: partial 16S ribosomal RNA
Rfam family: Bacterial small subunit ribosomal RNA
Source: RNAcentral